ACGGCGAGCGAAGCGGGAAAAGCUCAAAUUUGUAAUCUGGCGUCUUCGACGUCCGAGUUGUAAUCUCGAGAAGUGUUUUCCGUGAUAGACCGCAUACAAGUCUCUUGGAACAGAGCGUCAUAGUGGUGAGAACCCAGUACACGAUGCGGAUGCCUAUUACUUUGUGAUACACUUUCGAAGAGUCGAGUUGUUUGGGAAUGCAGCUCAAAUUGGGUGGUAAAUUCCAUCUAAAGCUAAAUAUUGGCGAGAGACCGAUAGCGAACAAGUACCGUGAGGGAAAGAUGAAAAGCACUUUGGAAAGAGAGUUAACAGUACGUGAAAUUGUUGGAAGGGAAACACAUGCAGUGAUACUUGCUAUUCGGGGCAACUCGAUUGGCAGGCCCGCAUCAGUUUUUCGGGGCGGAAAAUCGUAGAGAGAAGGUAGCAGUUUCGGCUGUGUUAUAGCUCUUUACUGGAUUCGCCCUGGGGGACUGAGGAACGCAGCGUGCUUUUAGCAUGAGCUUCGGCUUAUCCACGCUUAGGAUGCGGGUUUAU
This 534-nucleotide ribosomal RNA is filed under the name Sporobolomyces pararoseus. RNAcentral describes it as "eukaryotic LSU rRNA". It matches the Rfam family "Eukaryotic large subunit ribosomal RNA", at positions 86 to 634 of the family's 3401-position model. Lineage: Eukaryota; Fungi; Basidiomycota; Microbotryomycetes; Sporidiobolales; Sporidiobolaceae. The record is from RNAcentral.